UACCAGCACCCCGAGUGGUCGGGACGAUUAUUGGGCCUAAAGCAUCCGUAGCCGGUACUGCAAGUCUUCCGUUAAAUCCACCUGCUUAACAGUUGGGCUGCGGGGGAUACUACAGCGCUAGGAGGCGGGAGAGGCAAGCGGUACUCAAUGGGUAGGGGUAAAAUCCGCUGAUCCAUUGAAGACCACCAGUGGCGAAGGCGGCUUGCCAGAACGCGCUCGACGGUGAGGGAUGAAAGCUGGGGGAGCAAACCGGAUUAGAAACCCCAGUAGUCC
This 273-nucleotide ribosomal RNA is filed under the name uncultured archaeon. RNAcentral's name for it is "partial 16S ribosomal RNA". It matches the Rfam family "Archaeal small subunit ribosomal RNA", at positions 474 to 747 of the family's 1478-position model. The record is from RNAcentral.